GCAUUGGUGGUUCAGUGGUAGAAUUCCUGCCUCCCAUGCAGGAGACCCGGGUACGAUUCCCAGCCAAUGCA
This is a non-coding RNA of Danio rerio (zebrafish), 71 nucleotides long. The record is from the annotation of a RefSeq genome assembly. Lineage: Eukaryota; Metazoa; Chordata; Actinopteri; Cypriniformes; Danionidae.